This 253-nucleotide ribosomal RNA is filed under the name uncultured bacterium. Its description in RNAcentral is "partial 16S ribosomal RNA". It matches the Rfam family "Bacterial small subunit ribosomal RNA", at positions 524 to 776 of the family's 1533-position model. The record is from RNAcentral.
UACGUAGGGUGCAAGCGUUGUCCGGAAUUAUUGGGCGUAAAGAGCUCGUAGGCGGUUUGUCGCGUCUGCUGUGAAAACUCGGGGCUUAACCCCGGGCCUGCAGUGGGUACGGGCAGACUAGAGUGCGGUAGGGGAGGCUGGAAUUCCUGGUGUAGCGGUGAAAUGCGCAGAUAUCAGGAGGAACACCGAUGGCGAAGGCAGGUCUCUGGGCAUUAACUGACGCUGAGGAGCGAAAGCAUGGGGAGCGAACAGG